UGUCCUACGGGACGCAGCAGUGAGGAAUAUUGGUCAAUGGGCGGAAGCCUGAACCAGCCAAGUCGCGUGAGGGAAGAAGGCCCUGCGGGUCGCAGACCUCUUUGGACGGGGAGCAAGGCCGCCUACGUGUCGGCGGAAGGAGAGUACCCGUAGAACAAGCAUCGGCUAACUCCGUGCCAGCAGCCGCGGUAAUACGGAGGAUGCGAGCGUUAUCCGGAUUUAUUGGGUUUAAAGGGUGCGUAGGCGGAUUGUUAAGUAAGAGGGGAAAUGUCCGAGCUUAACUCGGGAGGUGCCUCUAAUACUGU
This 305-nucleotide ribosomal RNA is filed under the name uncultured bacterium. RNAcentral's name for it is "bacterial SSU rRNA". It matches the Rfam family "Bacterial small subunit ribosomal RNA", at positions 335 to 636 of the family's 1533-position model. The record is from RNAcentral.